RNAcentral lists this ribosomal RNA (124 nucleotides) under uncultured bacterium. RNAcentral describes it as "partial 16S ribosomal RNA". The record is from RNAcentral.
GCCGGAGCUUCUUCUGAUGGUACCGUCAUUAUCUUCGCAUCUGAAAGAAUUUUACAACCCUAGGGCCUUCUUCAUUCACGCGGCAUGGCUGCGUCAGAGUUUCCUCCAUUGCGCAAUAUUCCUC